UAUAUCUUGUUUUUUUUACUUUUCGUCUUCUUUUUUUUUCUUUUUUUUCGAUAUAGCGAAUUUUUCCAAAUAAGGGCAAUUCCAAAAAUUUGAUCGCUAAGGAAAGAGCGUUAUCCCAAUUUUUAGCUACAAGUGUCAUAUUCCAUAAAAAAUAGUUCACUAACCUCUACUCAACCCUUAAAAACAAGCCAUGGUUGAGAAAAUCAAACCGAACCAGCUAAUUGAACAGAUCCGACCGUGAACCUAUCACUUCUCCGAUAGUGGCUCAACCGGUUGAGUAAAAUGGUCAAAACCUGUCGUUGACCCAAUUUGACCGGUAAAAUUGCUGGUUGGACCAGUUAAAA
Molecule: long non-coding RNA, 344 nt
Filed under: Linum usitatissimum (flax)
Lineage: Eukaryota; Viridiplantae; Streptophyta; Magnoliopsida; Malpighiales; Linaceae
Description: long non-coding RNA (LUSI_LNC006683)
Source: RNAcentral